GCCGAGUCAGAGAAAACAAGUGCAACAACAUCAGGACACAGACGGAACGGAGAACGGACGCAGCACUAACACCCAGCCCAACCCAACAGCAGCCAGCAACCUCGCAGGCUCGCACCACCACCUCGUCCGUCGCAGCAUCAGGCCAGCAGCCGGCGGCGCCGGGCGCCGUCGUGAAUUACCCCAGGACUUGUCCCCUCCAGCAAACGGAGCGUUCAGUAGAGCACGCCUCGGCGAUAUCGCGGCGACAUCUGCUGCAGCCCGUGGAGCCCAACGAGAGCAGCAUCAGCAGCAGCUCCCGAUCGCUCCUGCUACCCACGGCCUCGCCCACGCCUGCGUGCGCAGCAGCAGAAGCAAAGGUGAGAGCUCUGCGCCCCCGUCCCAAUCCCCCCGCCUCGAUCUAACCUCACGCGCGGGGCUGCCGCGGCCGGCAAUGGCGGACCGGCGCCAAUGGCGGCCGCGUCACUUGCCAGCGCGGCCUCGGACUCACUAUUUGGGAGCCGAGGAGCUGAAUUCGGGUGCGGAAGCUUCGCUUUGGGGUCGGAAUUGUGGUGACCUUGAUUGGAUCAGAGAAGGCGAGCUGGGGAUUGGGGAGUUUGAGCUCUACACCCGUGUUGUGGCAGGGUUUGGUAUUGCCGUUGAUUAACCAUGAUUGGCAGUAUAGUAUCAGAUUCAGAGUUCUUCGUGGCAUUCUACUCUGCAGCUCAUUUGUAGAUAUAUGGAAUUCCUUCCCUGAGAAAUGCCGUCCUCUACACCACCAUCAGUACAACCCACACCAAGCCUUCAACCGUUACCAUCUCCUGCAGUAAGCCAGAGUACUCGUAUUGAUGUUCGUGAGAUCAAGUCCAAGAUUUUUAAGACGAUUGGGCCUGAACGAGCAAAGAAAUACUUUCAGCACCUGGAAAGGUUCUUAUCUUCAAAACUGAGCAAGAAUGAAUUUGAGAAGCUUUGUCUUGUUGCACUUGGCCGUGAUAACCUCCCAUUGCACAACCACCUUAUCCGUUCCAUCCUACAUAAUGCCAGUCGAGCUUGUGGCCCACCUGUAAUUAAUGAUCCUAGGCUGGUCAGAGGUGCCACCACUUCUGGCCAUGUGAUUGUUCCUCCUGUCUGGGACAAUGGUGGUCCGUUGAACCUAAAUGUCAAAGAGAACAGACCAUUAAGCAGAAGGGAAAAUCUACUAACCCAAAAGCCAUCACUGAAUCAUUGUGACGCUAUUAUGCUGGAGAAUGGUGUUCAUCAUUUGAGUGAUCUGAAGAGAUGUACACAAUUUCAAAACAGUGACCAUGUGGAGCCACUUUUCAAGCGACCGCGAAUGGAGAAGGAACCAUUCAGUUUACAUAAUUCUCUGCAGAGCAAUGGGUCUGCUAAGGCUUCAAGAGAAAACCUGGGACAAGAAAUUAUACACCAACCCGAAGGUCCAGUGCAAGCACCACUUGGCAUUCAGUUACGUCCUGGCAAUUUUGGUGUGGCCCGAAUACCCCUUUCUUCUGUGAGUUCAAAGGAUACCUCUGACACUUGUAUCGAAGUUGGUGAACUCUGUGAUACUUUGUCAGUGAAGAAGAGGUUGGACAAAAUGGCAGGAGCAUCUGGGUUGGAAGGGGUCUCGAUAGAGUGUGCCAAUUUGUUGAAUAAUGGCAUUGAUGUUUUCAUGAAGCAGUUGAUUGGAUCUUGUGUUGAAUUAGUUAGAGCAAGGUCUCGACAUGGCAAACUAAGACAUGAUGCAUUGAAGCAGCAGAUGUGCCGAAAACUAAUAAAUGGUGUAUCAGUACAUACCCAUGUUUCUGGGCAGAGUUCUAUUAUACCUCCAGAGACAAAUUCCAUCUCCAUGCAGGACUUAAAGGCAGUGAUAGAGUUAAACCCUUGUUUGCUUGGGAUUAAUGCAUCACUGUUACUAGAAAAGAUCAAUUCAUAUGACUAGUUGGAUGGAGCUAGUUGUAUUCAUCUCAUCACAAGAUCCUAUGACCUUGAUGGUCUGUCUUGUUUCAUGGCUGUUGUAAUCAGGCCAUAAUUUUACUGACGGGUAGUGGUGAAGGCAGGUGCAUUCUGUGCAGUACCCUGAUUGUUUUUCAUCUCAUCUCUGGUACAAUCUUCCAGAAUAAACAAAUAUCUGUAUUUUCUGGGUGCAGUACUAAACUCAUUUAUUUCCUGCACCUAAGGACCACUAUUGGGCUAAAGUGCUUCAGAGAUAACUAUGUUGCUGGACUCCAAACAAAUUGAGCCAUAUCACAGAUUUGAUCUGAUUGGGAGUCACGCGCCCCCCAAACUUUGCCUUGCUGCACUGACCUCUGCAAUUCACAAGAUAGGAUAGUGUGAAACCAAGCCUGGUGGCUGUUUCUUCGUGCUGUUUGCUCGAGUGUUGGCAAAUCAUUUGUUCAUAAUCAUGGUUUACUGGGACUGGCUCGCUCACAUUGCGUCCCCAGGCACUCCCACAGAAGUGCAGUAAUGCGACAAACCACUCCACUGCUUUAUCCAUGUUGAUUAUUGUGUAAACACUGAUAAAUUUGUACAAGUAAAUCAAUAUAUCAUGUGUAAAUCCUUCAUACAUAGUGUUUGUUUCAUGUUUGAGUUCCCAAAUUUUGCAAAUAUAUUUUGUGCGGUUAUCUUUAUAUAAACAAGUUCUAUGAUGACA
This is an RNA transcript of Zea mays, 2626 nucleotides long. RefSeq lists it as uncharacterized. NCBI's taxonomy places the organism in Eukaryota, Viridiplantae, Streptophyta, Magnoliopsida, Poales, Poaceae. The transcript is spliced from 4 exons. The record is from RefSeq and is a predicted model, not a curated record.